AUUGAACGCUGGCGGCAGGCUUAACACAUGCAAGUCGAGCGAGCGGCGGACGGGUGAGUAAUGUCUGGGAAACUGCCUGAUGGCGGGGGAUAACUACUGGAAACGGUAGCUAAUACCGCAUACCAUCAGAUGUGCCCAAAUUGGAUUAGCUAGGAGGUGGGGUAAUGGCUCACCUAGGCGCCGAUCCCUAUCUGGUCUGAGAGGAUGACCACUCACACUGGAACUGAGACACGGUCCAGAAUCCAACGGGAGGCAGCAGUGGGGAAUAUUGCACAAUGAGCGCAAGCAGGAUGCAGCCAUGCCGCGUGUGUGAAGAAGGCCUUCGGGUUGUAAAGCACUUUCAGCGAGGAGGCGUUACUCGCAGAAGAAGCACCGGCUAACUCCGUGCCAGCAGCCGCGGUAAUUC
This 406-nucleotide ribosomal RNA is filed under the name uncultured bacterium. RNAcentral's name for it is "partial 16S ribosomal RNA". It matches the Rfam family "Bacterial small subunit ribosomal RNA", at positions 30 to 526 of the family's 1533-position model. The record is from RNAcentral.